RNAcentral lists this ribosomal RNA (329 nucleotides) under uncultured eukaryote. RNAcentral describes it as "partial 18S ribosomal RNA". It matches the Rfam family "Eukaryotic small subunit ribosomal RNA", at positions 1470 to 1796 of the family's 1831-position model. The record is from RNAcentral.
CCCUUAGGUGUUCUGGGCCGCACGCGCGCUACACUGACGAUGGCAACGAGUUUUUCCUUCGCCGAAAGGUGUGGGUAAUCUUUUGAAACAUCGUCGUGCUGGGGAUAGAUCAUUGCAAUUUUUGAUCUUGAACGAGGAAUUCCUAGUAAGCGCGAGUCAUCAGCUCGCGUUGAUUACGUCCCUGCCCUUUGUACACACCGCCCGUCGCUACUACCGAUUGAAUGGUUUAGUGAGGACUCCUGAUUGGCGCCGCCGCCCCGGCAACGGAGCAGCGGACUGCCGAAAAGUUGUUCAAACUUGAUCAUUUAGAGGAAGUAAAAGUCGUAACA